GCAUCGGUACGCUUCACAGCCUGGACAUCAUUGGCAGGACACGAUACUUUCUUGUAAUAAUUUAUCCACCUAGUUGCUUGAGAAGUAAGUACAUUUCAUAAACUCAUUGGCAAGGCGGCUUUCGGACAGGAAGUUGAUAGCCCAACUGACGCACUCCAGCUACCCGGAUAUUUGCCCCAUACCACCAUGACGUCCGUAAAAAUUUUAGCUAUUUUGUUGGUCGUUUCACUCACAAUAUCAGUGGUGAUCAGGAACUCAGAGGCAGGAUGCCCCGCCGCUGGAUGUAACCCCGAACUAUACGGAUCAAGGUGGGGAAAAAGGUCGUACCAAAUUUCAGACAGGUUCAGGGAGGCAAUAAAAAGACUGUCAGAAAAAAGGAAAUUUGAGCAAUUUUUAGCUGGCCUCGAAGACGAAGGAUUAGAUGACGAUGAUCAACCAUGAUAAGAAUACCGACAAUUCUGCUACGUAAUAUAUCUUCUGUAUAAAAUAAAAACAAUUUGUGGAGCUCUCUACCAUGUUUCUUGUGAUGUUCUCGUCAACAUAGAUAAUUGUACGAAUACUGAACAACCGGGUGACUAUGAAUUGAAGAUGGGAUUCAAUAUAGUCAAUAUGUUGCCACAUCUGCGACAACUAAUACCACCACCACUACAACUCACGAGUCAUCUUAGUUACGUGUUUCUUUGAUACUAUUCACAUUCUUUGUAUCUUUCAAAUUAUAUAUACUGUAGUGCCAGGUGAAAAAAACAACAACCUUAGUUCGUAUUUUUGCCGAAUCUUGAAAGGAAUGUCAGCAAGACUUAAUUUUUCUGUAGUAGUACAAGCUAAAAGCUGCCGUAGUUCAUGUUUUCUGUUGGUAAAUUAUAAGUACUGUACAUCAUUACUCGUAUCUUUCGAAGAGUACCCACACAAUAUAUAUUUGUAUGGGACAUCCUGCCCAUAUCGUCACUAGCAGUUUUAAAUUUUACGAUUUUACAGUCGACCAAAACAAUCACUUAUUUAAUGUUUCCCCGAUAAGUUCUUGGAACAUGCAAGGUCAGUUUGUCAUGAUGCAUGUAAUACUAAAUAAUAAAUUACAUUU
This is a long non-coding RNA of Saccoglossus kowalevskii, 1078 nucleotides long. RefSeq lists it as uncharacterized. Lineage: Eukaryota; Metazoa; Hemichordata; Enteropneusta; Harrimaniidae. The record is from RefSeq and is a predicted model, not a curated record.